Molecule: long non-coding RNA, 5317 nt
Filed under: Sus scrofa (pig)
Lineage: Eukaryota; Metazoa; Chordata; Mammalia; Artiodactyla; Suidae
Description: lncRNA (ENSSSCG00025049679.1)
Source: RNAcentral
UUGAUCCCUUUAUUACUAUAUGAUGACCUUCUUUACCUCUUAUUACAAUCUUGGCCUAAAGUCUAUUUUGUCUGAUAUGCCUAGCUCUUUUUUUUCCUCUCUUUUUUAUUUGCUCUUGCAUUUGCAUGAAAUAACAUUUUCUAUCCCUCCUCUUCUUGUCUGUGUCCUUAAAGCUGAACUGAGUCUCUCAUAGGCAGCAUAUAGUUGAGUCUUGCUUUUUUCUCCAUUCAGUCACUCUAUAGCUUUUGAUUGGAGAAUUGACAUUUGAAGUAAUUAUUGAUAGAUGUAGACUUGUUGCCAUUUUGGUAAUUGUUUUCUGGUUGUUUUAUAAUCCCUUUGNGGCCACUCCCACGGCAUAUGGAGGUUCCAGGCUAGGGGUCUAAUUGGAGCUGUAGACACUGGCCUAUACCAGAGCCACAGCAAGGCGGGAUCUGAGCCGCAUCUGCAACCUACACCACAGCUCACGGCAACGCUGGAUCCUUAACCUACCGAGCAAGGCCAGGAAUUGAACCCAUAACCUCAUGGUUCCUAGUCAGAUUUGUUAACCACUGCGCCACGACAGGAACUCCCCUUUCUCUUUCUCUUGCUCUCUCUCUCUUUUUUUUAAAAAAAAUUUUUUUUUUUUUUUGUGAUCUAACCUGUAGUGGUUUGCUUAGAUUCCUUGAUCCUUUGUGUGUCUACUAUAAGUUUUGCUUUGUGGUUACCAUGAAGUUUACAUAAAGAAACUUAUAUUUAUAACAGUGUCUUUUAGGCUGAUGAUAACCUAACUUUGAAUCUGUAUUAAAGCUCCAAAUUUGUACUCUCUCUCCAUAGCUUUAUGUUUUUGAUACCAUAGUUCACAUCUCUUUAACACUGUGUAACCAUUAACAGAUUAUUGUCAGUAUAGUUAUUUUUAAUAAUUUUGUCUUUUAACCCACAUUUAGAUAUAUAAGUGAUUUACCCAGCACCAUUACAACAUUAGAGUAUUCCAGCUUUAUAUUUACUUUUACCAGUGAGAUUCAUACCUUCAUAUUCUUUCCUGUUACUAAUUAGCAUCCAUUUGUUUCAGCUUAUAGAACCUCCCCUAACUUUUCUUAGAAGACCAGUCUCAUGGUGCUGAACUCCCUCAGCUUUUGGUUGUCUGGAAAACUCUAUCUCUCCUUCAUUUCUGAAGGACAGCUUUGCUAGGUAGUAGUGUUUUUUGGUUGGCAGUUCUUCUCUUUCAGCACUUUGAAUAUAUUAUUCCAUUUUCUUCUGGCCCACCAAGUAUCUCCUGAAAAAUCUGCUUGUAAUCUUAAGGGGGCUCCCUUGUAAGUAAAAAACUAUCUUCCUCUUACUGUUUUUAAGAUUCUCUCCUUGCCUUUAACGUUUGUCUUGGUGUAGGUCUCUUUGGAUUUAUCUUAUUUGAAACUUUCUAAGCUUCCUGGAUCUUUAUGUUUGGUUUUUGCCCCAAGUUAGGGAAGUUUUCAACCACUAUUUCUUUAAAUAAACUUCCUGCCCUCUUCUCUUCCCAUUAAAAGAGUUUAUGCAUACAUCUUGUGUCCUGGCUUUUGAGGCUGCCACCAAGAUGUGAAUUCCUUGAUGUGAAUAUUGAUUACAUAUUGGUUUGAUGGUGUCCCAUAAAGCCCCUAAGGUAACUUCAUUCUUUUUAAUUUUGCUCCUCUGAUUGAAUGAAAUCUAUUGCCCCAUCUUUAAGUGUGCUGACCCUUUCUUCUUCUUGAUUGUCUGAUUUCAGACCUUUCUAUUGACCUUUUUAUUUUAGUUAUUAUUCUUCAGCUCUGUGCUUUCUGUUUGGUACUUUCUUAUAUGUUCUAUCUUUUUUGAAAUUCUCUUUGUCCAUGCAAUGUCUGACCUCAGUGAGCAUCUUUAUCAUCAUUACUUUGAACUUUUUAAUCAGGUAAAUCACUUAUCUCUAUUUCAUUAGGCUCUCUCUCUGGAAUUUUAUCUUGGAAUAUUCUUUUGCUUGGAACAUUUUCCUCUUUCUUCAUGUUCCUUGACUCUCCCUGCUGGUUUCUGCACAUUAGAUGAAAACAGCCAUUUCUCCCUGUCUUGAUAGAGUGGUCUCACAUAAGAGAGAAACCUUAUCAUUCAGCCCUUCCCUAGUUUUUGGUUGUCUCUCAACCUUUGUGAUUGUUUUAUUGUUAGUCUCCCAGUAGCUGAGGGUGUGCCAAGACCUAUCAGGGUCCCAAAGGGGAGGUGCUUAGUCAGAAUUUAGAUGCAGACUGAUUGGAAGACAGACCCUCAGGCAGCAGAUUUUAAAGUGCAUGAAUAGACCUCUUUUGGGGGAAGACUGGGAGUUAGGUGUUUCUGCCUGCUCCUCUGCACUGAGUCCUUGGGGAUAGCCAGUUAAGGACUGUUUGUUUAUUUCUAUCUUAUAGGACUCAUGAAUGCAAGCUCUGCUGAUCACCAGUACUAGGGGAUCAAGAUGUCUAGCCACAAAAGCCAGGGCAUCCGAUGUGUGCACAAGCUCCUUUAGUGGACACACUUGUGACCUGGAGUGAGCCAGAGGGAGAGCACAGAGGCAGCACUCACUGGUCUCCCUGGUCUGCAGGGAGGAUUGCAGCUCAGCCCAUAGAUGUGUGCUGAAUUAGAAGCCUUACACUCAGGCAGCAGAUUUCUAAGUAUGCCAGUAGGUUCCUUUCAGGGAAAGACUGGGAGAUAGGCAUUUCUGUCUGCUCCUUCUGUGCUGAGCUGUGAGGGGCUACGAGGGUUGGGGUGGUAGCUACAGCAAGUUCUUGUGUGCAGUUAGGAGCUGUUUCUUUGUUUGCUAUAAUUUUUCAGGUCUUAUGAAUACAAGCCCCAUUGGCUUUCAGAGCUGAGUCCUUUGGGGACCCAUUCCUCAAGUGAAAGUCUUGAACGUUGGGGCACUAAAUGUUGGGUCCUUUGUUCUUUGGGAAAAAUCUAGGGACUGUUAGUUCCCUCCUGAUUGUAUGCUGCUAUGCCAAAGAUGGGCUUUAUGGCAAGAGUGUGUCUCAGCCUUUCCUACCCAUUUUGAUGAGGGUUUUUCUAAUUUACCCAAUGGGUAGGCAUUGCUCAGCUAGUUUCUGGAUUUCUUUACUGGGAGUUUUUCCACAAGUAGCUAUAGAUUUGGUGUGUCCGUCCUAGGAGAUGGAAUCUGGAGUCUCCUAUGUCGCCAUCUUGGACUGGAAUCCCACUCCAUACUUUCUUAAGGUGUGAAUGAGCCUAAGUCUGUAGAAGUGCUUUGUAAACUGUUAAAGGCCAAGCAGAGGAGGGAAAGCAGAGGCCUCAUGGUUUCUCAAAUAAGGCCUGUGGGCUUCCCAGCCCUGUCCGCAUCUUUCCUGAGCAUGUUCAUCAGAGUGGCUGGCUUCUGCCCACUCACAGCUACCAAGUGUGAACUCUUCUCAUCUGCUCUCACUGUAGGCUCCCUCAUUGGCACAAACCACUCCCUCUCCUUUGUUCUUAAAUUGUGUAUGUGAACCCAAGUCUCUAAACAGGGAAAUGAUCUAAGCAGCUGCGGAAGGUGGCCACUUCGGGGUGUGGGAGACAUGGGUUGUCACGGGCUUGGGGCUCCGGCGUUACACGGGGCACGUUGCAGAACUACUAAUACUAAGGGUUUUCCCUGAGGGGGGCCUGCCCUCUGAGCAGAGCCCUGCACAACAGCCUUUCCUCUGAGCCUCUUCUGGCUCAGGCCCCUUGGGGAGACACGUGAGUGUUAGAGCUUCGAGGAAUUCCCUCCCAUUUAAAGACUGGACAGAGCCAUGACUGUCCCCCCAGGACUGGAAUCGGCCCUGGACUCCAGGGCCUCGUCUCAGCGCUCUUGAUACUGGUGCACCUUCUGAGGUUGGUGUACAUUCUGAGACCCAAACAGAUGGAGCACCUGAGCCCCCAGGCAGAAUCACGGUGGACAUAAGAGAAGCAAGGAGAAGCGAGGGCAGGUCAAGACAAGGGGCUGGAGGAGUGGGGUGCUUCAUCCUAAACCAGGGGACAGACGCGCAGGGUUUGAUUUCAUGUGGCGAUGCCUCCACACUAUCGGAAUGUGAUGUUCUAUGACAGGGCUGCUGCUGCCGUGAGCAUCACUCUUUUAAACCCAACAGGACACUUGCUGCCACAGCCUCUUCUCGCCUUGUCUCACUGAUCAUUUACCGAGCUCCCAGGCUGCACCAAGUACAGUGCCAGGCAGUUAAAAAUAUCAUCAUGUAAAACCUUCAUAAAACCUUGUAAAAAUAUCCCUUUUAUCCCAUUUGAUAGUGGAGAAAAACCAAGUUCAGAAGAGGUCAUUGUCUUGGGCAGGCAGUGUCCCGAGUCCUUGAUUUUUCCUACUUAACGUAUGUUGCUCUCUUUCCUUGCUAACCCAUGAUGCGUUUCUUAAAGUAAUGCGAUUUUAAAGCGCACACUCAAAUGCGUCCAUUUAGUGAAGACUUACUGCACUCCUCCUGUGUACCAGGCACCACACUAGCACAAGGACCCGUGAGCUGCAGGGGAACCUAGAGGAAAAGCCCACCUCCCAGGGAAUGUCUUCUCUGGAGACACUGCAUCACCACUCCUCGUAGGGCUGUAGGUACCACCUGUACAAGUGCAGGCCAGGAGGCCUGAAACCUGAAGUUGCCUUCCUGUGGGUUUCCCAGGAACAUACCUGGAGAUGAAAUAGAGAUUUCUUCAGUGGCCAAGGGAUUAGAAAACCUGGGUGGCGACAGUAGCAUCACCACCUAAGUGAGAUGUGUGACUCCCUGGACCUCAGUUUCCCCAUCUGUCCAACCAGAGGAUUGGGCCACAUGAUUGCUGUGUCCAUCUCAGCUCAAAUAAUUCACCAAUUUUACCAAAUUCUCCACUUCAGUCCACUGUCUACGUGAAUGAAUGCUGAGACCCAUUUUGAAGAUCUGAGGUGUUUUUCUCAUCCUAAGACCCAGGUUCCCCUGGUGACAUAUGGCGCAAUCAGUUGUUUUUGUUUCCGCACCUCUGAUUCAUUCAUCAUGUGCAGAUGCUUCAUCUUUGUCAUGGUUAGGGAGGUUCACUUCUGGGAGAGCCAGGCUCCCAGCCCAAAUCCAGAGGUAUACUUAACUAUGCGCUGUACGUUUCCCUUGAAAAGCAACAGACAAAUCAAGAAACAGCAAAUUGAAUCCUUCUUUCAAAGUAGCAGAACUGAGUUCCCGUCGUGGCGCAGUGGUUAACGAAUCCGACUAGGAACCAUGAGGUUGCGGGUUCGAUCCCUGCCCUUGCUCAGUGGGUUAAUGAUCCGGCAUUGCCGUGAGCUGUGGUGUAGGUUGCAGACGAGGCUCGGAUCCUGCAUUGCUGUGGUUCUGGCGUAGGCCGGCGACUACAGCUCUGAUUAGACCCCUAGCCUGGGAACCUCCAUAUGCCAAGGGAGAGCGGCCCAAGA